GGUCGAACGCUGGCGGCGUGCCUAAUACAUGCAAGUCGAGCGGACAGAAGGGAGCUUGCUCCCGGAUGUUAGCGGCGGACGGGUGAGUAACACGUGGGUAACCUGCCUGUAAGACUGGGAUAACUCCGGGAAACCGGAGCUAAUACCGGAUAGUUCCUUGAACCGCAUGGUUCAAGGAUGAAAGACGGUUUCGGCUGUCACUUACAGAUGGACCCGCGGCGCAUUAGCUAGUUGGUGGGGUAAUGGCUCACCAAGGCGACGAUGCGUAGCCGACCUGAGAGGGUGAUCGGCCACACUGGGACUGAGACACGGCCCAGACUCCUACGGGAGGCAGCAGUAGGGAAUCUUCCGCAAUGGACGAAAGUCUGACGGAGCAACGCCGCGUGAGUGAUGAAGGUUUUCGGAUCGUAAAGCUCUGUUGUUAGGGAAGAACAAGUGCGAGAGUAACUGCUCGCACCUUGACGGUACCUAACCAGAAAGCCACGGCUAACUACGUGCCAGCAGCCGCGGUAAUACGUAGGUGGCAAGCGUUGUCCGGAAUUAUUGGGCGUAAAGGGCUCGCAGGCGGUUUCUUAAGUCUGAUGUGAAAGCCCCCGGCUCAACCGGGGAGGGUCAUUGGAAACUGGGAAACUUGAGUGCAGAAGAGGAGAGUGGAAUUCCACGUGUAGCGGUGAAAUGCGUAGAGAUGUGGAGGAACACCAGUGGCGAAGGCGACUCUCUGGUCUGUAACUGACGCUGAGGAGCGAAAGCGUGGGGAGCGAACAGGAUUAGAUACCCUGGUAGUCCACGCCGUAAACGAUGAGUGCUAAGUGUUAGGGGGUUUCCGCCCCUUAGUGCUGCAGCUAACGCAUUAAGCACUCCGCCUGGGGAGUACGGUCGCAAGACUGAAACUCAAAGGAA
Molecule: ribosomal RNA, 900 nt
Filed under: Bacillus pumilus
Lineage: Bacteria; Bacillati; Bacillota; Bacilli; Caryophanales; Bacillaceae
Description: bacterial SSU rRNA
Rfam family: Bacterial small subunit ribosomal RNA
Source: RNAcentral